Molecule: transfer RNA, 91 nt
Filed under: Dipodomys ordii (Ord's kangaroo rat)
Lineage: Eukaryota; Metazoa; Chordata; Mammalia; Rodentia; Heteromyidae
Rfam family: tRNA
About the family: Transfer RNA (tRNA) molecules are approximately 80 nucleotides in length. Their secondary structure includes four short double-helical elements and three loops (D, anti-codon, and T loops). Further hydrogen bonds mediate the characteristic L-shaped molecular structure. tRNAs have two regions of fundamental functional importance: the anti-codon, which is responsible for specific mRNA codon recognition, and the 3' end, to which the tRNAs corresponding amino acid is attached (by aminoacyl-tRNA synthetases). tRNAs cope with the degeneracy of the genetic code in two manners: having more than one tRNA (with a specific anti-codon) for a particular amino acid; and 'wobble' base-pairing, i.e. permitting non-standard base-pairing at the 3rd anti-codon position.
Source: Rfam by way of RNAcentral
GGAAGUGUGGCUCAAGGGGUAGAGUGUUAGCCUUGAAUGAGAAAGCUAAGGGACAGUGCCUAGAGCCUGAGUUCAAGCCUCAGUACUGGCA